RNAcentral lists this non-coding RNA (942 nucleotides) under Crystallaria asprella (crystal darter). RNAcentral describes it as "partial 12S ribosomal RNA". It matches the Rfam family "Bacterial small subunit ribosomal RNA". The record is from RNAcentral. Lineage: Eukaryota; Metazoa; Chordata; Actinopteri; Perciformes; Percidae.
CAAAGGCUUGGUCCUGACUUUACUAUCUACUCUAGCUAAACUUACACAUGCAAGUAUCCGCAUCCCCGUGAGAAUGCCCUACAGUUCCCCGCACGGAACAAGGAGCUGGUAUCAGGCACAUCCCUACAAGCCCACGACACCUUGCUUAGCCACACCCCCAAGGGAACUCAGCAGUGAUAAACAUUAAGCCAUAAGUGAAAACUUGACUUAGUUAAAGCUAAGAGGGCCGGUAAAACUCGUGCCAGCCACCGCGGUUAUACGAGAGGCCCAAGUUGAUAGACAUCGGCGUAAAGCGUGGUUAGGACUUUUAUUAAACUAAAGCCGAACACCUUCAGAGCUGUUAUACGCACCCGAAGGUAAGAAGUUCAACCACGAAAGUGCUUUACAGCCCCGAACCCACGAAAGCUACGACACAAACUGGGAUUAGAUACCCCACUAUGCCUAGCCGUAAACAUUGGUAGUAACUACACCCGCUACCCGCCCGGGUACUACGAGCAUCAGCUUGAAACCCAAAGGACUUGGCGGUGCUUUAGAUCCACCUAGAGGAGCCUGUUCUAGAACCGAUAACCCCCGUUCAACCUCACCUCCCCUUGUUUAACCCGCCUAUAUACCGCCGUCGUCAGCUUACCCUGUGAAGGUCAAAUAGUAAGCAAAAUUGGUACAACCUAAAACGUCAGGUCGAGGUGUAGCGUAUGAGGAGGGAAGAAAUGGGCUACAUUUCCUACUAAAGGAAACACGAAUGAUGCACUGAAACGUUCAUCUGAAGGAGGAUUUAGCAGUAAGCAGGAAAUAGAGCGUCCCGCUGAAACUGGCCCUGAAGCGCGCACACACCGCCCGUCACUCUCCCCAAGCUUACAAACUAAAGUAAUUAAAACCUUACAAUCGCGAAGGGGAGGCAAGUCGUAACAUGGUAAGUGUACCGGAAGGUGCACUUGGAAAAAU